RNAcentral lists this ribosomal RNA (440 nucleotides) under uncultured bacterium. Its description in RNAcentral is "partial 16S ribosomal RNA". It matches the Rfam family "Bacterial small subunit ribosomal RNA", at positions 338 to 795 of the family's 1533-position model. The record is from RNAcentral.
CCUACGGGUGGCUGCAGUAGGGAAUAUUGCUCAAUGGGGGAAACCCUGAAGCAGCAACGCCGCGUGGAGGAUGAAGGUUCUCGGAUUGUUAACUCCUUUUGUUAUAGAAGAUAAUGACGGUAUCUAACGAAUAAGCACCGGCUAACUCCGGGCCAGCAGCCGCGGCAAUACGGAGGGUGCAAGCGUGACUCGGAUUCACUGGUCGUAAAGAGCGCGUAGGCGGGAUAGUAAGUCAGAUGUGAAAUCCUAGGGCUUAACCAUAGAACUGCAUUUGAAACUGUUAUUCUAGAGUAUUGGAGAGGGAGGUGGAAUUCUUGGUGGAGGGGUAAAAUCCGUAGAGAUCAAGAGGAAUACUCAUUGCGAAGGCGACCUGCUAGAACAUAACUGACGCUGAUGCGCGAAAGCGUGGGGAGCAAACAGGAUUAGAUACCCGAGUAGUC